CUUGACGACCAUAGAGCGUUGGAACCACCUGAUCCCAUCCCGAACUCAGUAGUGAAACGACGCAUCGCCGAUGGUAGUGUGGAGUU
RNAcentral lists this ribosomal RNA (86 nucleotides) under Pseudomonas nicosulfuronedens. The record is from RNAcentral. Lineage: Bacteria; Pseudomonadati; Pseudomonadota; Gammaproteobacteria; Pseudomonadales; Pseudomonadaceae.